This is a non-coding RNA of Chiloscyllium plagiosum (whitespotted bambooshark), 287 nucleotides long. NCBI's taxonomy places the organism in Eukaryota, Metazoa, Chordata, Chondrichthyes, Orectolobiformes, Hemiscylliidae. The record is from RefSeq and is a predicted model, not a curated record.
GCUUUUUGAAGAAAACUUUGGAGUUACCUUUUAGCCAUACAAGAAGAAUGCCUGACCUUUACAAUUUCUAAUGGUGAUUAAUACAUGGAGGUCUGAACUUUCCUAACACCGAGAGAAUUUGCAGCUGACAUGAUGCCAGGGUCCCGAUUCUGGAAAUUCACCUUUUCAUCAAGAGUAAUGGUGGUCCAGACCUCAUUACAACAUGAAUUCAAACAUGGACUAAAAAACAGAAUUCCAGAGGUGAUGGUGACUGCUGUUAAUAGCAAGGCAGCAUUUGACAAAAUGUG